RNAcentral lists this ribosomal RNA (352 nucleotides) under uncultured Terrimonas sp. RNAcentral describes it as "bacterial SSU rRNA". It matches the Rfam family "Bacterial small subunit ribosomal RNA", at positions 505 to 858 of the family's 1533-position model. Lineage: Bacteria; Pseudomonadati; Bacteroidota; Chitinophagia; Chitinophagales; Chitinophagaceae. The record is from RNAcentral.
GUGCCAGCCGCUGCGGUAAUACGGAGGGUGCAAGCGUUAUCCGGAUUCACUGGGUUUAAAGGGUGCGUAGGUGGACUAGUAAGUCAGUGGUGAAAUCUCCGGGCUUAACCCGGAAACUGCCGUUGAUACUAUUAGUCUUGAAUAUUGUGGAGGUUAGCGGAAUAUGUCAUGUAGCGGUGAAAUGCUUAGAUAUGACAUAGAACACCAAUUGCGAAGGCAGCUGGCUACACAUAUAUUGACACUGAGGCACGAAAGCGUGGGGAUCAAACAGGAUUAGAUACCCUGGUAGUCCACGCCCUAAACUAUGGAUACUCGACAUACGCGAAUACACUGUGUGUGUCUGAGCGAAAGC